Molecule: ribosomal RNA, 480 nt
Filed under: uncultured bacterium
Lineage: Bacteria
Description: partial 16S ribosomal RNA
Rfam family: Bacterial small subunit ribosomal RNA
Source: RNAcentral
GACGAACGCUGGCGGCGUGCUUAACACAUGCAAGUCGGACGAUGAAGCAAAGAAUUGAAGCUUCGGCAGAAAUUCAUUUCGGAUUAGUGGCAGACGGGUGAGUAACGCGUGAGCAACCUACCUCUUACAAAGGGAUAGCCUCGGGAAACCGGGAUUAAUACCAUAUAACAUUGCGACGAAGCAUUUCGAUGCAAUCAAAGCUACGGCGGUAAGAGAUGGGCUCGCGUCCCAUUAACCAGAUGGUGAGGUAACGGCUCACCAUAGUAACGAUGGGUAACCGGCCUGAGAGGGUGAACGGUCACACUGGAACUGAGACACGGUCCAGACUCCUACGGGAGGCAGCAGUGGGGAAUAUUGCACAAUGGAGGGAACUCUGAUGCAGCGACGCCGCGUGAGUGAUGAAGGAAUUCGUUUCGUAAAACUCUGUUCUAUGGGAAGAAAAGGACUGUACCAUAGGAGAAAGCUCCGGCUAAAUACGUG